This is a long non-coding RNA of Notolabrus celidotus (New Zealand spotty), 626 nucleotides long. RefSeq lists it as uncharacterized. The transcript is spliced from 2 exons. NCBI's taxonomy places the organism in Eukaryota, Metazoa, Chordata, Actinopteri, Labriformes, Labridae. The record is from RefSeq and is a predicted model, not a curated record.
GUUCAAUGUUUUAGAAAUUGCUCUGAAUGUACCAUUCAGUGACGCAGGAAGGGGUACACACGGCAGAGAGAGCGCUCACUCGGAGUGCACAUGCUUGACUACUAAGAAACAGGCCUAUUCAAGCUCUCACGAUACGGCCUGCAGAUCUGAACAUAUAACAAGAAGUGAAAAAUGAUCCUAGUCUGUAAUCUGAUAAUGGUCACGUGCUGCCAGGAGGACAAAGACAUCUCAGCUCCAAACCCUGCACACUGGCAUCAGCCGAACAACCUGGGGCACAAGUUAAAACCAGCUUUACUUGGGGUAACAACACAAGGAGGAGGAGAAGGAGAAGGAGGUGGAGAAGGAGGCGUAGCUGUUACGUCAUAGCUCCAAAAGAGUUGCUGUCUAUUUUAGGAACAUAGUGUAACAGUUUUAAUAGAAAACAUGCAAACUGCUCUUUGUUUUUGUGGCACAGACUGUGAAACUCGAGCUCAUCUCCAGCUGUGCUCAUGCAUUGAAUGUACAAGUCUCACUAAAGCAUGCAAUUUCAAACUUCAUUCAAUCAGAAGGACUGGUUCGUUUGCUUUUAUACAUAUCAGAACUGGUAUGUUUUGCUCAUUAACUCUAAAUAAAGAGCAGAUUGCUGA